This 450-nucleotide ribosomal RNA is filed under the name uncultured bacterium. RNAcentral describes it as "bacterial SSU rRNA". It matches the Rfam family "Bacterial small subunit ribosomal RNA", at positions 354 to 796 of the family's 1533-position model. The record is from RNAcentral.
GUGGGGAAUAUUGGACAAUGGGCGCAAGCCUGAUCCAGCCAUACCGCGUGGGUGAAGAAGGCCUUCGGGUUGUAAAGCCCUUUUGUUGGGAAAGAAAUCCUGUCGGUUAAUACCUGGCGGGGAUGACGGUACCCAAAGAAUAAGCACCGGCUAACUUCGUGCCAGCAGCCGCGGUAAUACGAAGGGUGCAAGCGUUACUCGGAAUUACUGGGCGUAAAGCGUGCGUAGGUGGUGGUUUAAGUCCGUUGUGAAAGCCCUGGGCUCAACCUGGGAAUUGCAGUGGAUACUGGAUCACUAGAGUGUGGUAGAGGGAUGCGGAAUUUCUGGUGUAGCAGUGAAAUGCGUAGAGAUCAGAAGGAACAUCCGUGGCGAAGGCGGCAUCCUGGGCCAACACUGACACUGAGGCACGAAAGCGUGGGGAGCAAACAGGAUUAGAUACCCCUGUAGUCC